UGGUCGGUGUACAGGUGGUGCAUGGCUGUCGUCAGCUCGUGUCGUGAGAUGUUGGGUUAAGUCCCGCAACGAGCGCAACCCUUGUCCCGUGUUGCCAGCAGGCCCUUGUGGUGCUGGGGACUCACGGGAGACCGCCGGGGUCAACUCGGAGGAAGGUGGGGACGACGUCAAGUCAUCAUGCCCCUUAUGUCUUGGGCUGCACACGUGCUACAAUGGCCGGUACAAUGAGCUGCGAUACCGCGAGGUGGAGCGAAUCUCAAAAAGCCGGUCUCAGUUCGGAUUGGGGUCUGCAACUCGACCCCAUGAAGUCGGAGUCGCUAGUAAUCGCAGAUCAGCAUUGCUGCGGUGAAUACGUUCCCGGGUCUUGUACACACCGA
This 377-nucleotide ribosomal RNA is filed under the name Streptomyces matensis. RNAcentral's name for it is "bacterial SSU rRNA". It matches the Rfam family "Bacterial small subunit ribosomal RNA", at positions 1024 to 1393 of the family's 1533-position model. Lineage: Bacteria; Bacillati; Actinomycetota; Actinomycetes; Kitasatosporales; Streptomycetaceae. The record is from RNAcentral.